RNAcentral lists this ribosomal RNA (747 nucleotides) under uncultured Moryella sp. RNAcentral's name for it is "bacterial SSU rRNA". It matches the Rfam family "Bacterial small subunit ribosomal RNA", at positions 28 to 776 of the family's 1533-position model. The record is from RNAcentral. Lineage: Bacteria; Bacillati; Bacillota; Clostridia; Lachnospirales; Lachnospiraceae.
GAUGAACGCAGGCGGCGUGCUUAACACAUGCAAGUCGAACGAGAAAUGAAGAUGGAAACCUUCGGGCGGAAGCCUUCAUUUCGAGUGGCGGACGGGUGAGUAACGCGUGGGUAACCUGCCUCAUACAGGGGGAUAACAGUUGGAAACGACUGUUAAUACCGCAUAAGACCACAGCACCGCAUGGUGCGGGGGUAAAAACUCCGGUGGUAUGAGAUGGACCCGCGUUCGAUUAGCCAGUUGGCGGGGUAACGGCCCACCAAAGCGACGAUCGAUAGCCGAUCUGAGAGGAUGACCGGCCACAUUGGGACUGAGACACGGCCCAAACUCCUACGGGAGGCAGCAGUGGGGAAUAUUGCACAAUGGGGGAAACCCUGAUGCAGCGACGCCGCGUGAGUGAAGAAGUACUUCGGUAUGUAAAGCUCUAUCAGCAGGGAAGAAAAUGACGGUACCUGAGUAAGAAGCCCCGGCUAACUACGUGCCAGCAGCCGCGGUAAUACGUAGGGGGCAAGCGUUAUCCGGAUUUACUGGGUGUAAAGGGAGCGCAGACGGUUGCGCAAGUCUGAAGUGAAAUCCCGAGGCUUAACCACGGGACUGCUUUGGAAACUGUGCGACUUGAGUAUCGGAGGGGCAGGCGGAAUUCCUAGUGUAGCGGUGAAAUGCGUAGAUAUUAGGAAGAACACCGGUGGCGAAGGCGGCCUGCUGGACGAAAACUGACGUUGAGGCUCGAAGGCGUGGGGAGCAAACAGG